RNAcentral lists this ribosomal RNA (460 nucleotides) under uncultured bacterium. RNAcentral describes it as "partial 16S ribosomal RNA". It matches the Rfam family "Bacterial small subunit ribosomal RNA", at positions 338 to 795 of the family's 1533-position model. The record is from RNAcentral.
CCUACGGGUGGCAGCAGUGAGGAAUAUUGGUCAAUGGGCGCGAGUCUGAACCAGCCAAGUAGCGUGAAGGAUGACUGCCCUACGGGUUGUAAACUUCUUUUAUAAAGGAAUAAAGUGAGGCACGUGCGCCUUUUUGUACGUACUUUAUGAAUAAGGAUCGGCUAACUCCGUGCCAGCAGCCGCGGUAAUACGGAGGAUUCGAGCGUUAUCCGGAUUUAUUGGGUUUAAAGGGAGCGUAGAUGGGUUGUUAAGUCAGUUGUGAAAGGUUGCGGCUCAACCGUAGAAUUGCAAUUGAUACUGGCAGUCUUGAGUGCAGUUGAGGUAGGCGGAAUUCGUGGUGUAGCGGUGAAAUGCUUAGAUAUCACGAAGAACUCCGAUUGCGAAGGCAGCUUACUAAACUGCCACUGACAUUGAUGCACGAAAGUGUGGGUAUCAAACAGGAUUAGAUACCCCUGUAGUC